RNAcentral lists this ribosomal RNA (272 nucleotides) under uncultured bacterium. RNAcentral describes it as "partial small subunit ribosomal RNA". It matches the Rfam family "Bacterial small subunit ribosomal RNA", at positions 26 to 285 of the family's 1533-position model. The record is from RNAcentral.
AGGACGAACGCUGGCGGCGUGCCUAACACAUGCAAGUCGAACGCGAAAGCCCCGCAAGGGGUUAGUAGCGUGGCAAACGGGUGAGUAACACGUGGGUGACCUGCCUUCGAGUGGGGGAUAACGUUCCGAAAGGGACGCUAAUACCGCAUAACAUCCUGCCUUUGAACAGGCGGUGAUCAAAGCUGGGGACCGCAAGGCCUAGCGCUGGAAGAGGGGCCCGCGCCUGAUUAGCUAGUUGGUGGGGUAACGGCUCACCAAGGCGACGAUCAGUA